UAAGGUCUCUAUUACCUUAGCCCAAGCCUCUAUCUCUAGCUCAUAAGGAUUCUACUACCUUAUCGAAGCUAACCACCCGACUCGGCUUCGAGUCAAUCAUCCGCGGAUAUUCCGCGCACUGGCUGCUCAACAGCCUACCGCUCUCCGUGACUUAGCCUCUUAGCGGCGAAAUCAUCGCACACGUUGAACCCGGCUCAAGUCCCUUGACAUAGCCAUUCUGGCGGCGAACACGUUGC
RNAcentral lists this long non-coding RNA (236 nucleotides) under Ananas comosus (pineapple). RNAcentral describes it as "long non-coding RNA (ACOM_LNC017964)". Lineage: Eukaryota; Viridiplantae; Streptophyta; Magnoliopsida; Poales; Bromeliaceae. The record is from RNAcentral.